RNAcentral lists this ribosomal RNA (253 nucleotides) under uncultured bacterium. RNAcentral describes it as "partial 16S ribosomal RNA". It matches the Rfam family "Bacterial small subunit ribosomal RNA", at positions 524 to 776 of the family's 1533-position model. The record is from RNAcentral.
UACAGAGGGUGCGAGCGUUAAUCGGAAUUACUGGGCGUAAAGCGCGCGUAGGCGGCUUUGUAAGUCGGUUGUGAAAUCCCCGGGCUUAACCUGGGAACUGCAUCCGAGACUGCAUGGCUAGAGUAUGGGAGAGGGAAGUGGAAUUUCAGGUGUAGCGGUGAAAUGCGUAGAUAUCUGAAGGAACAUCAGUGGCGAAAGCGACUUCCUGGACCAAUACUGACGCUCAUGUGCGAAAGCGUGGGGAGCAAACAGG